Molecule: ribosomal RNA, 374 nt
Filed under: uncultured organism
Description: partial 16S ribosomal RNA
Rfam family: Bacterial small subunit ribosomal RNA
Source: RNAcentral
GCAGGUGGCAAGCGUUGUCCGGAAUUAUUGGGCGUAAAGCGCGCGCAGGCGGUCCUUUAAGUCUGAUGUGAAAGCCCACGGGCUCAACCGUGGAGGGUCAUUGGAAACUGGGGGACUUGAGUACAGAAGAGGAAAGCGGAAUUCCAAGUGUAGCGGUGAAAUGCGUAGAGAUUUGGAGGAACACCAGUGGCGAAGGCGGCUUUCUGGUCUGUAACUGACGCUGAGGCGCGAAAGCGUGGGGAGCAAACAGGAUUAGAUACCCUGGUAGUCCACGCCGUAAACGAUGAGUGCUAAGUGUUAGGGGGUUUCCGCCCCUUAGUGCUGCAGCUAACGCAUUAAGCACUCCGCCUGGGGAGUACGGCCGCAAAGGCUGA